UAUAAGGCCUUGGUAAAUAAGGCCACCCAUAAAAACAAAAAGAUGUUG
Non-coding RNA from Ophiophagus hannah (king cobra), 48 nucleotides. NCBI's taxonomy places the organism in Eukaryota, Metazoa, Chordata, Lepidosauria, Squamata, Elapidae. The record is from Rfam.